GAUGAACGCUGGCGGCGUGCCUAAUACAUGCAAGUCGAGCGAACAGACGAGGAGCUUGCUCCUCUGACGUUAGCGGCGGACGGGUGAGUAACACGUGGAUAACCUACCUAUAAGACUGGGAUAACUUCGGGAAACCGGAGCUAAUACCGGAUAAUAUAUUGAACCGCAUGGUUCAAUAGUGAAAGUCGGUUUUGCUGUCACUUAUAGAUGGAUCCGCGCCGCAUUAGCUAGUUGGUAAGGUAACGGCUUAUCAAGGCUACGAUGCGUAGCCGACCUGAGAGGGUGAUCGGCCACACUGGAACGGAGACACGGUCCAGACUCCUACGGGAGGCAGCAGUAGGGAAUCUUCCGCAAUGGGCGAAAGCCUGACGGAGCAACGCCGCGUGAGUGAUGAAGGUCUUCGGAUCGUAAAACUCUGUUAUUAGGGAAGAACAAAUGUGUAAGUAACUAUGCACUUCUUGACGGUACCUAAUCAGAAAGCCACGGCUAACUACGUG
Molecule: ribosomal RNA, 497 nt
Filed under: uncultured bacterium
Lineage: Bacteria
Description: partial 16S ribosomal RNA
Rfam family: Bacterial small subunit ribosomal RNA
Source: RNAcentral